This 275-nucleotide ribosomal RNA is filed under the name uncultured bacterium. RNAcentral's name for it is "partial 16S ribosomal RNA". It matches the Rfam family "Bacterial small subunit ribosomal RNA", at positions 338 to 610 of the family's 1533-position model. The record is from RNAcentral.
CCUACGGGUGGCUGCAGUGGGGAAUAUUGGUCAAUGGGCGAAAGCCUGAACCAGCAAUGCCGCGUGAGUGAUGAAGGCCUUCGGGUUGUAAAGCUCUGUCGGGAGGGACGAAAAAGCAGCGUAACGAGCUGUGUUGACGGUACCUCCAAAGGAAGCACCGGCUAACUCUGUGCCAGCAGCCGCGGUAAUACAGAGGGUGCAAGCGUUGUUCGGAAUUACUGGGCGUAAAGCGCGUGUAGGCGGCGGCGUAAGUCGAAUGUGAAAGCCCUUGGCUU